This 253-nucleotide ribosomal RNA is filed under the name uncultured bacterium. RNAcentral's name for it is "partial 16S ribosomal RNA". It matches the Rfam family "Bacterial small subunit ribosomal RNA", at positions 524 to 776 of the family's 1533-position model. The record is from RNAcentral.
UACGUAGGGGGCAAGCGUUGUCCGGAAUCAUUGGGCGUAAAGAGCGCGUAGGCGGCCCUGUACGUCCGCUGUGAAAGUCAAGGGCUCAACCCUUGGAUGCCGGUGGAUACUGCAGGGCUAGAGUCCGAUAGAGGUGAGUGGAAUUCCUAGUGUAGAGGUGAAAUUCGUAGAUAUUAGGAAGAACACCAGUGGCGAAGGCGGCUCACUGGAUCGGUACUGACGCUGAGGUGCGAAAGCGUGGGGAGCAAACAGG